This 468-nucleotide ribosomal RNA is filed under the name uncultured bacterium. RNAcentral's name for it is "partial 16S ribosomal RNA". It matches the Rfam family "Bacterial small subunit ribosomal RNA", at positions 28 to 507 of the family's 1533-position model. The record is from RNAcentral.
GAUGAACGCUGGCGGCGUGCUUAACACAUGCAAGUCGAACGGUGAAGGCGGAUCUUGCUCUGCUGGAUCAGUAGCGAACGGGUGAGUAACACGUGAGCAAUCUGCCCCUGACUCAGGGCUAAGCGCUGGAAACGGCGUCUAAUACUGGAUACGAGCUGCGAAGCCAUCUUCAGCAGCUGAAAAGAAUUUCGGUCAGGGAUGAACUCGCGGACUAUCAGCUUGUUGGUGAGGUAAUGGCUCACCAAGGCGUCGACGGGUAGCCACACUGAGAGGGAGACCUGCUAAAUCGGAACUGUGACACGGCCAAGCCGCCUACGGUAGGGAGUGGUGGGGAAUUUGGUCGAAGGGGAGUGCGCGUGAUGCAGCAACGCCGCGGGAGGGUCGACGGCCAUCGGGUGGAAAUCCUCUUUUAGCAGGUAAGAAGAGAAAGUGACGGUACCUGCAGAAAAAGCGCCGGCUAACUACGUG